This 944-nucleotide ribosomal RNA is filed under the name Pseudomonas sp. 01WB03.1-74. Its description in RNAcentral is "bacterial SSU rRNA". It matches the Rfam family "Bacterial small subunit ribosomal RNA", at positions 11 to 950 of the family's 1533-position model. The record is from RNAcentral. Lineage: Bacteria; Pseudomonadati; Pseudomonadota; Gammaproteobacteria; Pseudomonadales; Pseudomonadaceae.
GUUUGAUCCUGGCUCAGAUUGAACGCUGGCGGCAGGCCUAACACAUGCAAGUCGAGCGGUAGAGAGAAGCUUGCUUCUCUUGAGAGCGGCGGACGGGUGAGUAAUGCCUAGGAAUCUGCCUGGUAGUGGGGGAUAACGUUCGGAAACGGACGCUAAUACCGCAUACGUCCUACGGGAGAAAGCAGGGGACCUUCGGGCCUUGCGCUAUCAGAUGAGCCUAGGUCGGAUUAGCUAGUUGGUGGGGUAAUGGCUCACCAAGGCGACGAUCCGUAACUGGUCUGAGAGGAUGAUCAGUCACACUGGAACUGAGACACGGUCCAGACUCCUACGGGAGGCAGCAGUGGGGAAUAUUGGACAAUGGGCGAAAGCCUGAUCCAGCCAUGCCGCGUGUGUGAAGAAGGUCUUCGGAUUGUAAAGCACUUUAAGUUGGGAGGAAGGGCAGUUACCUAAUACGUGAUUGUUUUGACGUUACCGACAGAAUAAGCACCGGCUAACUCUGUGCCAGCAGCCGCGGUAAUACAGAGGGUGCAAGCGUUAAUCGGAAUUACUGGGCGUAAAGCGCGCGUAGGUGGUUUGUUAAGUUGGAUGUGAAAUCCCCGGGCUCAACCUGGGAACUGCAUUCAAAACUGACUGACUAGAGUAUGGUAGAGGGUGGUGGAAUUUCCUGUGUAGCGGUGAAAUGCGUAGAUAUAGGAAGGAACACCAGUGGCGAAGGCGACCACCUGGACUAAUACUGACACUGAGGUGCGAAAGCGUGGGGAGCAAACAGGAUUAGAUACCCUGGUAGUCCACGCCGUAAACGAUGUCAACUAGCCGUUGGGAGCCUUGAGCUCUUAGUGGCGCAGCUAACGCAUUAAGUUGACCGCCUGGGGAGUACGGCCGCAAGGUUAAAACUCAAAUGAAUUGACGGGGGCCCGCACAAGCGGUGGAGCAUGUGGUUUAAA